This 1349-nucleotide transfer RNA is filed under the name Bos indicus x Bos taurus (hybrid cattle). RNAcentral's name for it is "lncRNA (ENSBIXG00000006272.1)". The stretch from base 968 to 1039 matches the Rfam family "tRNA". The record is from RNAcentral. Lineage: Eukaryota; Metazoa; Chordata; Mammalia; Artiodactyla; Bovidae.
GGAUAUUCUGUUCUUGGAAUGAGGAUAUAGAAAAUCGGAUUUUCUCUUUUCCCAAACAUUGCGCUCCUUCUGGACACUCAGAAUUCAGUCCGUGAGUGCCUUUACCAAUUCAAAUAGGUCCACAUCCCGGGGAGCCCGCUAGCCAGGGACGCCCAGCACUGAGCAGGUGGAGAUCGUAGCGCGGAGUAGAUGUGGCAGCGGAAGAACGGUGUUUCUUUAUGGGUCCGGCUGGAGAACACCGUAUAAGUUGCAUCCUCGUUAGUAUAGUGUACUCCCCACCCACCCAUCUCCCAGAGGGCAGGGAAGCAGAGAGAGCCGAACCUGAAUGCCGACCUGCUGAUUUCUUGGUGUCUUGAAGCUGAGCAGGUGUCACGGGUGAGGUGGCUAUGCUUCGAGUCUGGAUUUGAGUCACUUACUGCCGCGAGGAAAGCCACAAUCUGGCCCAUAGGGCAUCCCCACGCCGUGGCGUGGUCAGCAUCCUUGCUGUGCCUUGGGCUGCUCCGGGAGCUGCACCCAAGGGGAGACCUUACUCUUUUGCUCAGAGAAGAGAUCCUGAGAAAGCGGAACUCUGAGAAAGCUUCGAGUACUAUCAAAGGGAAGCCAGACGGUAUGGGAACUUCCUCGCACUUCUCCGACUGGAAAAAUCCAAGUCCAAGAAUUACUUGACUCCAUUUCUUUCGUUUCAUAAACUACCUCUGUUAAACGUUUGUUGACGUCUGUUGGUUACUUUUUGCGGGUUAUUUUUUGCUGCUUAUUAAUUUCUGUUCUCAGAACCCUCGCGACUAAAUCAUGAGCCGAGGAGGAAACGGACUCUUUAAGACAGAAUUAAAUGAGGUGGAACUUUGCCUUUUUGUAUUUUGUAAGAAAAGAUGAGAUAUUUAACCGUUUAGAACAUGUCACUAAUUAAGGAACGCUAAGGAACAGUAUACCUUUAAGGGCUGAGCUGAAAAGCUGCUGGCAGAGCUAGUCCUCGUUAGUAUAGUGGUGAGUAUCCCCGCCUGUCACGCGGGAGACCGGGGUUCGAUUCCCCGACGGGGAGGCAACUUAUUUUCUAUCGCCUAUAUCUUAUUUUCAUUUCUCUUUCAAGUGAAUUCUUCAACUUUCAUAAAAAUUCCUUACUCUUCUCUAAAAAAAUAAUCCUGGCAAGCAAGCGAGAUUUGGUCAGGCAGUUGUCUUAUUAACUGCUUGGUCACAGUCACCCACGAGCGCCCUCACUUCUUCCCUUGGUUACAAGAAAAAGUUCUCACAUUGAAGCGGAAUUUUCCAUUUCCGGCAUGCCACAACGCGGCUAUCAACUGUUUGGUUUAUAUAAUGGUUUCCCCAAAUAAAACUGUUUCCCUCUAAAACCA